Molecule: ribosomal RNA, 773 nt
Filed under: uncultured fungus
Lineage: Eukaryota; Fungi
Description: eukaryotic LSU rRNA
Rfam family: 5.8S ribosomal RNA (bases 214-367)
Source: RNAcentral
GCUGUUGCUGGUCCCUGGGAUAGCGUGCACGCUUGUCAUCUUUAUCACUUCUCCAAUUGUGCACAUAUUGUAGACCUGGAGCAUGUUGGAUCAUCGUUCCGAGUUGGGACUGCUGUGCUUCACACAAUGAGGUCAGCUUUGCCCUUUUGCAAUCAGGUCUAUGUCAUUUUAACCUCUUGAAUGUCGAAUAACUAUGAAAAAUGAAAUAAAUACAACUUUCAGCAACGGAUCUCUUGGCUCUCGCAUCGAUGAAGAACGCAGCGAAAUGCGAUAAGUAAUGUGAAUUGCAGAAUUCAGUGAAUCAUCGAAUCUUUGAACGCAUCUUGCGCUCCUUGGUAUUCCGAGGAGCAUGCCUGUUUGAGUGUCAUUUAAAUUCCUCAAACCACAUGGUACACUGUACUUUAUGUGGCUUUGGACGUGGGGGUUUUAUUUUUUGCAGGCCUUUCUUUUGAGGUGUGCUCCCCUGAAAUGCAUUAGUGGUAUCUGGAGCAGAGGAGACUACUAGGUGUGAUAAAUUAUCUAUGCCUUUUGGUAUGCUGCAUGAAACAGAUUGGACCGCUUCUUGAACACACAUUUAUUUUGACCAACUUGACCUCAAAUCAGGUAGGACUACCCGCUGAACUUAAGCAUAUCAAUAAGCGGAGGAAAAGAAACUAACAAGGAUUCCCCUARUAACUGCGAGUGAAGCGGGAAGAGCUCAAAUUUGAAAUCUGGCGGUUUCUUGACCGUCCGAGUUGUAAUCUAGAGAAGUGCUACCUGUGCUGGACCGUGUA